GUGUCAGCCGCCGCGGUAAUACGGAGGGUGCGAGCGUUAAUCGGAAUUACUGGGCGUAAAGGGCGCGUAGGCGGUCGCGCAAGUCGGGUGUGAAAGCCCCGGGCUCAACCUGGGAAUUGCAUUCGAUACUGCGUAACUAGAGUCUGGUAGAGGGAAGCGGAAUUCCGCAUGUAGCGGUGAAAUGCGUAGAUAUGCGGAGGAACACCAGUGGCGAAGGCGGCUUCCUGGACCAAGACUGACGCUGAGGCGCGAAAGCGUGGGGAGCAAACAGGAUUAGAUACCCUGGUGGUCCACGCCCUAAACGAUGAGGACUAGACGUUGGGGGGAUAAAACCCUUUAGUGUCGCAGCUAACGCGUGAAGUCCUCCGCCUGGGGAGUACGGCCGCAAGGUUGAAACUUAAAUGAAUUGACGG
Molecule: ribosomal RNA, 413 nt
Filed under: uncultured bacterium
Lineage: Bacteria
Description: bacterial SSU rRNA
Rfam family: Bacterial small subunit ribosomal RNA
Source: RNAcentral